GGCGCGGUCGGCGAGGUGGUCGGGCACGCCGCUCUCGCGCAGGUGCGCGGCGAGGGCGGCGUACCAGCUGCGGUUGGACUCCGCGACCACGCCG
Molecule: transfer RNA, 94 nt
Filed under: Marmoricola endophyticus
Lineage: Bacteria; Bacillati; Actinomycetota; Actinomycetes; Propionibacteriales; Nocardioidaceae
Description: tRNA-Ala
Source: RNAcentral